GACGAACGCUGGCGGCGUGCCUAAUACAUGCAAGUAGAACGCAGUUGCGACCGGGUGAGUAACGCGUAGGUAACUGCCUCAUAGCGGGGGAUAACUAUUGGAAAAGAUAGCUAAUACCGCAUUCUGUUGGAUGGACCUGCGUUGUAUUAGGUUGUUGGUGGGGUAAAGGACCACCAAGGCGACGAUACAUAGCCGACGUGAGAGGGAGAUCGGGCACACUUGGACUGAGACACCGCCCAGACUCCUACGGGAGGCAGCAGGAGGGAAUCUUCGGCAAUGGAGGGAAGUCUGACCGAGCAACGCCGGGUGAGUGAAGAAGGGUUUCGGAGCGUAAAGCUCUGUUGUUAGAGAAGCGGUAACUAAACAGAAAGGGACGGCUAACUACGUGCCAGCAGCCGCGGUAAUUC
RNAcentral lists this ribosomal RNA (407 nucleotides) under uncultured bacterium. RNAcentral describes it as "partial 16S ribosomal RNA". It matches the Rfam family "Bacterial small subunit ribosomal RNA", at positions 28 to 526 of the family's 1533-position model. The record is from RNAcentral.